RNAcentral lists this ribosomal RNA (497 nucleotides) under uncultured bacterium. RNAcentral describes it as "partial 16S ribosomal RNA". It matches the Rfam family "Bacterial small subunit ribosomal RNA", at positions 28 to 507 of the family's 1533-position model. The record is from RNAcentral.
GACGAACGCUGGCGGCGUGCCUAAUACAUGCAAGUCGAACGCUGAAGCUUGGUGCUUGCACCGAGCGGAUGAGUUGCGAACGGGUGAGUAACGCGUAGGUAACCUGCCUGGUAGCGGGGGAUAACUAUUGGAAACGAUAGCUAAUACCGCAUAAGAGUAGAUGUUGCAUGACAUUUGCUUAAAAGGUGCAAUUGCAUCACUACCAGAUGGACCUGCGUUGUAUUAGCUAGUUGGUGAGGUAACGGCUCACCAAGGCAACGAUACAUAGCCGACCUGAGAGGGUGAUCGGCCACACUGGGACUGAGACACGGCCCAGACUCCUACGGGAGGCAGCAGUAGGGAAUCUUCGGCAAUGGACGGAAGUCUGACCGAGCAACGCCGCGUGAGUGAAGAAGGUUUUCGGAUCGUAAAGCUCUGUUGUAAGAGAAGAACGAGUGUGAGAGUGGAAAGUUCACACUGUGACGGUAGCUUACCAGAAAGGGACGGCUAACUACGUG